GAAAAUCGCAAUGAAAAUUUGAAGUUCCCUUGGCUUUACUUUGUGAGAAUUUCAAGCCUCGAACAUUUCAGGCACAGCUGGUUCCUGCUGAUUACUCCUUCCACUGUCAGAGGUGCCAGUGAGGUGUGUGCAUACAUCUGUGGAGCCGUUCUCCUGGAGACAAGCACACGGGACACAAGGGAAGAGACAGUCCGUACUGUGACUCUUUGGCUACUUGUCAGUGAUGGUAUGCAGUCCAAGUCCACACAGUGUCGAUACCGCCCCAGGAUCUGCUGGGUCUCCUGAUCCAGGUGAGAACAUAGGUUAUAUCAGAGGUUUGAUAUAAGGCACUCUUGUUGUUUAGCUCUAUGCAAAAUGUAUAGACCAACCAAAUGGACUCUUAAAUCUAAAUGAGAGGUGAGCUGGCUGAAUGCAUUAGCUUUCCAAGGCUGUAUUAGCAGAUUACCAUAAACCUAAUGGCUCAAAGAACCA
Fukomys damarensis (Damara mole-rat) is the source of this 471-nucleotide long non-coding RNA. Lineage: Eukaryota; Metazoa; Chordata; Mammalia; Rodentia; Bathyergidae. The record is from Ensembl.